UGCGACCCCAGGUCAGGCGGGACUACCCGCUGAGUUUAAGCAUAUCAUA
This 49-nucleotide ribosomal RNA is filed under the name Oxalis acetosella (European wood-sorrel). Its description in RNAcentral is "partial 28S rRNA". RNAcentral also lists the same sequence under 1 other name. The record is from RNAcentral. Lineage: Eukaryota; Viridiplantae; Streptophyta; Magnoliopsida; Oxalidales; Oxalidaceae.